Molecule: transfer RNA, 80 nt
Filed under: Cordylochernes scorpioides
Lineage: Eukaryota; Metazoa; Arthropoda; Arachnida; Pseudoscorpiones; Chernetidae
Description: tRNA-Thr
Rfam family: tRNA (bases 4-69)
About the family: Transfer RNA (tRNA) molecules are approximately 80 nucleotides in length. Their secondary structure includes four short double-helical elements and three loops (D, anti-codon, and T loops).
Source: RNAcentral
AAAAGGGUAGCCUAGUGGACAUAGCACCUGCCCGGUAAGCAGAAGGUUGUGGGUUCGAUUCCCGCCCCUGGUCACUUUUA